AUUACCGAGCAAAACUAUCUGUAAAAAGAGGAGAUGACUUUCAGAGUGAGGGUUGUAAGGACUGUGCUUGUUGUUGGGACAGUCAGCCUGGCCGUCAUGACUUACGGGCCAGCCUUACUCGGCUUCACGGUGUCGGAAAUAGCUGCCGGAUCAGUGGGGGCCAAAAUGAUGUCUGCAUCGGCCCUCGCGAACGGGGGCUGCGUGGCAGCCGGGGGAGUCGUGGUCACACUCCAGUCUGUUGGGGCCGGCAGUGGGCACGUAGGAGCUGCGGGCUACGCCGUGUCUGGAGCCAUCGGAGCCAUCUCGGGAGGUCUCCGAGUCUUUGGGCGCUAAACUGUCCUCACGGUUGAAAAUGCAGGUCUCGGGGAGAAAUGGCCUGACCUGUGCCUGAAAAAAAAAUCAAAUCUAAUCAAAUUAUAGAAUUUAAAAAGACAACAGAAAACACAGUGGAAUCAAGCAGGAUAUUGAAUACAUAAAUUAUAAUGUAACAGUGAUAUUUCUAUCCAAAGUAUGAGGCCUGAAUGCAGUGGCUUAUCGGGGGGGGGACAGAGGGGCAACCCCCCCCCCGGAUUUAACUGAGAAUACUUAAUAGGUGAGGAGGAAAGAAACUAAUCGGUAAAUUUAUUGAUCAAAUAAAUAGGCUAGGUUCUCCCAUUA
This is a long non-coding RNA of Acanthaster planci (crown-of-thorns starfish), 657 nucleotides long. The record is from RefSeq and is a predicted model, not a curated record. NCBI's taxonomy places the organism in Eukaryota, Metazoa, Echinodermata, Asteroidea, Valvatida, Acanthasteridae.